This 170-nucleotide small nuclear RNA is filed under the name Dasypus novemcinctus (nine-banded armadillo). RNAcentral's name for it is "U1 spliceosomal RNA (ENSDNOG00000039903.1)". Lineage: Eukaryota; Metazoa; Chordata; Mammalia; Cingulata; Dasypodidae. The record is from RNAcentral.
AUGCUUAACCAGAAGGGAAGAUACAAUGAUCUCGAAGGUGGAUUUCCCAGAGUGAGGCUAACCCAUUGCACUGGGCAUCUGCUGAACAAAGUGCUUUCCCCAUAUGGGGGAUCUCUGCAAGACUCAAGUGCAUCUUUGGUGGGGAGGGACUGGCACAACCAACACCCUCG